UACGAAGGGGGCUAGCGUUGCUCGGAAUCACUGGGCGUAAAGGGUGCGCAGGCGGUUGGGUGUGUCAGAUGUGAAAUCCCGGAGGCCUCAACCUCGGAACUGCGUCUGAAACUACUCGACUAGAGUACUGGAGAGGGUAACGGAAUUCACGGUGUAGCAGUGAAAUGCGUAGAUAUCGUGAGGAACACCAGAGGCGAAGGCGGUUACCUGGACAGUUACUGACGCUCAGGCACGAAAGCAUGGGGGAGCAAAAGGG
Molecule: ribosomal RNA, 256 nt
Filed under: uncultured bacterium
Lineage: Bacteria
Description: partial 16S ribosomal RNA
Rfam family: Bacterial small subunit ribosomal RNA
Source: RNAcentral